Long non-coding RNA from Triticum urartu, 1928 nucleotides. RefSeq lists it as uncharacterized. The record is from RefSeq and is a predicted model, not a curated record. Lineage: Eukaryota; Viridiplantae; Streptophyta; Magnoliopsida; Poales; Poaceae.
GCCCUCCCGCGUCCACGGCCUGCUGUGUCCCCCGCCCCACCGCCACCCCGCGUCCCCUCUGGCCCGCCGUGUCCCCCGCCGCCCCACGCCGCACUGCCCCUGCCGUGCCCCCUCUUAUUCCCCUUCUCUAGUUCCAGCGCUCCAGCGAAACCAUGGCGUGACGGGCGUGGUGACCAUGGCCACGCCGGCCGGGAUGACGGCGCCGCGCCGUCCAUUGUUGACCUUGUCGCGCCUGCUAGUCGGAAGACUAUCGCAUUUACCCGACGUUGUACCCCCCUCCUACCCAACAGGCUAUAAGGGCUAGAUGAUCAGUCCAGCAAUGCGGUGUCAGGCAUGGUUUGCUACAUAUGCAGAUGAGACAUCUCUGAAAAACUGAGAUCUGGUUAGCACAAAUCAUUUGUACCAUCAGGCACUUAAAUUAUACUAUGAUGACUAUGUGUUUGCAUUGGUUUGUUUGCACAAAAGAAACCAUUAGUUGUUCAUACUUUAUUUAUCAUUGAGUUAUCUUCUUUAUCUGCAAGAACAUGUUCUUAUGGGUGUCAUAGUCUGAUGGUCGAUGUAUACUAUCAUGUAAUGCAAGGGGCGAAGCCAGCAAUCUGGCGUGGUUUGGUGUCCGCCAUACGUAAAAUUUGCUAAGACGUAUGAAAAUUUGAGCUAAGACGUGCCUCCCUGCGGGGCUUGAUUGCUCAUCGCCGGGUCGUGGCCUGAUGCAGUGGGCUUGUAGGUUGUAACUUGACUGCACGUCAGCACAUCAGUAAAACUAGCAAUUACUCGGCAAGGCCGCGAGAGUCAGUAUGCUAUAAUGGCGCCAAAGAAGAAAGUGCGUACUAUGAUGAAAGGCAAUUGCGGUGGUUGAGUGAAAUAUGCUCUGCUAUUCAAUUUGUUCUAGUGCACUUCCAUUGUUGAAUGACCAAUUGAUUCGGUUCUGCUUGUAAUUUUGUUAUGCAGAUUUAAAGAGCAGUUUUGCCAAGCAAGUCUCACUGAAGCCAGUUUAACUUUGGAUGUAGUUGCCAUGUUCUGUUAAGAAAGUAAAGCUUCAUUAUGGGUUUAUAACUAUGUAUUCUUUAUCGAUCUUCACUAUGACUUUAUUCUUCACUACGGUUUUAUCCUACUAGUUACCAAUUCAUGAUUUAUCUAUAGUUUCUAUGUUUUAUAGAUAAUCUUUAUGUCUGUCUGGUUAAUAUACAUGAUAAAUUAUUGAUCGGUCAUCCAUCUAGUGACGUAUGUUGAGUGCGAACACUUCAAUUUUGGAUUUUGGUUGUAUUUUCAGAACACAAAGUAAUAUAUAUCUACUAUUCUAGUGAGCUCUUGCCUAAUUGCAUGAUAUAUGAUUAGCUCCUUCAUAAACCCCGCCACACCUAAAAAUAAUUUCUGCCUUCAUCAUAUGCAGGCUCUUACACAAAGAAUAUUCUUGAGGUGAUGCUAUGUAGAGUUCGAGCUUAUCAACAUUCUUGCCAGCCUUUGGAACUAACCAGUUGGUGUAUCUCUAUUCAUUUGCAGACUUUGGCAGCUAAACAAGGAGUGUCUUAUCAACAAAAUUCCACCACCUCCAGUUCGACCAACUGCUUGUUUGAUCGCUCUUGUAGAUUUUGGAAACAAGCACAGAACUACCAACUUUGUGUGCUCAGCAACAUGUAGAACAUGAAGUCUAUUUGAAGACCAACUUUUUGGGUGAAUGCAUAGAUAACAUAGAUACAUAUUGUUACAAGUUUUUUUGUAGUAGUAGAUACUUGGAUUGACCAACAAAGCUUGUACGUGCUGAUUUAGGUAUUCUGCUAGUUGUAGCAUUUUUUUUUAAUUUUGGUUCUAAACUGACCUUGAAUCUGGUUUCAAACUGACCUUGGGUCUGAUGUAUGUGUGUCAUUUGAACAUAAAUCUGAUGUGUACAUUGAAUUACGGCUGUAAUUAUAAAUUUGAAUUAUUGUUCA